Molecule: small nucleolar RNA, 99 nt
Organism: Callithrix jacchus (white-tufted-ear marmoset)
Lineage: Eukaryota; Metazoa; Chordata; Mammalia; Primates; Cebidae
Source: Ensembl
AUCCUUUUAUGGCUCAUGAACGUGAUGAUCGGGUUUUCACACACAUGUGAGAUGGGCCUCCCAUAAACCAUGAGACAUCAGCACAUUACCUGUCUGACA